Sus scrofa (pig) is the source of this 72-nucleotide transfer RNA. It matches the Rfam family "tRNA". Rfam says of the family: Transfer RNA (tRNA) molecules are approximately 80 nucleotides in length. Their secondary structure includes four short double-helical elements and three loops (D, anti-codon, and T loops). Further hydrogen bonds mediate the characteristic L-shaped molecular structure. tRNAs have two regions of fundamental functional importance: the anti-codon, which is responsible for specific mRNA codon recognition, and the 3' end, to which the tRNAs corresponding amino acid is attached (by aminoacyl-tRNA synthetases). tRNAs cope with the degeneracy of the genetic code in two manners: having more than one tRNA (with a specific anti-codon) for a particular amino acid; and 'wobble' base-pairing, i.e. permitting non-standard base-pairing at the 3rd anti-codon position. Lineage: Eukaryota; Metazoa; Chordata; Mammalia; Artiodactyla; Suidae. The record is from Rfam.
GACUUCGUAGCGCAAUGGUAGCGCAUCUGACUCCAGAUCAGAAGGUUGCAUGUUCACAUCGUGUCGGCGUCA